Molecule: ribosomal RNA, 2864 nt
Filed under: bacterium SCSIO 12643
Lineage: Bacteria
Description: 23S ribosomal RNA
Rfam family: Bacterial large subunit ribosomal RNA
Source: RNAcentral
UACGAAAGUAGUAAGGGCGUAUGGUGGAUGCCUAGGCUCUCAGAGGCGAUGAAGGACGUGAUAAGCUGCGAAAAGUCACGGUGAGGUGCAAAUAACUUUUGACCCGUGAAUGUCCGAAUGGGGAAACCCGGUAUCUUGAAGAGAUAUCAUCCGAAAGGAGGCAAACCCAGUGAACUGAAACAUCUAAGUAACUGGAGGAAAAGAAAACAAAAGUGAUUCCCUAAGUAGUGGCGAGCGAACGGGGAAUAGCCCAAACCAGAUUUGUUUAGGCAAAUCUGGGGUUGUAGGACUGUAAUAUGGACUAUACUUUGAUAAUAGAAUAGAACUGGAAAGUUCAACCGUAGAGGGUGAUAGUCCCGUAUAUGAAAUUGAAGUAUUACCUAACAGUAUCCUGAGUAGCACGGGGCACGUGAAACCUUGUGUGAAUCUGGCGGGACCAUCCGUUAAGGCUAAAUACUCCUGAGAGACCGAUAGUGAACUAGUACCGUGAGGGAAAGGUGAAAAGAACUUCGAAUAGAAGAGUGAAAUAGUACCUGAAACCAUACGCUUACAAGCGGAGGGAGCUUUAGAGUGACCUCGUGCCUUUUGCAUAAUGAUCCUACGAGUUACUCUCAUCUAGCGAGAUUAAGGUAUUCAGUACCGUAGUCGUAGCGAAAGCGAGUCUGAAUAGGGCGCAAGAGUUAGGUGAGGUAGACGCGAAACCGUGUGAUCUACCCAUGACCAGGUUGAAGCUUUGGUAACACAAAGUGGAGGACCGAACCAGUUGACGUUGAAAAGUCUUUGGAUGAGUUGUGGGUAGGGGUGAAAGGCCAAUCAAACACGGAAAUAGCUCGUACUCCCCGAAAUGCAUUUAGGUGCAGCGUUGGUUUUGAGUUUUAUAGAGGUAGAGCUACUGAUAGGGCUAGGGGGCUUCACCGCCUACCAAACCCUGACAAACUCCGAAUGCUAUAAAAUGCUUACCAGCAGUGAGGGCAUGGGUGCUAAGGUCCAUGUCCGAGAGGGAAAGAACCCAGACCAUCAGCUAAGGUCCCCAAGUGUAUACUAAGUUGAUCUAACGAGGUCGGAUUGCAUUGACAGCUAGGAUGUUGGCUUGGAAGCAGCCAUUCAUUUAAAGAGUGCGUAACAGCUCACUAGUCGAGCGAUCUGGCAUGGAUAAUAAUCGGGCAUAAGUAUACCACCGAAGCUAUGGACUUUAUAAAAGUGGUAGGGGAGCAUUCUAGUUGUGUUGAAGGUGUAUGGUAAUGUAUGCUGGAACGGCUAGAAAAGAAAAUGUAGGAAUGAGUAACGAUAAUGCAGGCGAGAAACCUGCACACCGCAAGACUAAGGUUUCCUGAACAACGCUAAUCGGUUCAGGGUUAGUCGGGGCCUAAGGCGAACCCGAAUGGGGUAGUCGAUGGAUAACGGGUUAAUAUUCCCGUACUAGUAUAAAUUGUGAUGGAGUGACGGAGAGGUGAAAGGAACGCGUACUGACGGAAUAGUACGUUGAAUGCCGUACGUAUAUGGACAGGUUAAGAGCUAGUCUUUGCUGAAAGCAGAUAGUACUGCAAACCUUCGGGCGAGCAGAUAGUUUCCCUAAUCUUACUUCCUAGAAAAACUUCUAAACUUAAGUUUAUACUACCCGUACCGUAAACCGACACAGGUAGUCGAGGAGAGUAUCCUCAGGUGCUCGAGUGAUUCAUGGCUAAGGAACUAGGCAAAAUGGCCUCGUAACUUCGGGAGAAGAGGCGCCAGCGCGAGCUGGCCGCAGUGAAAAGGCCCAGGCGACUGUUUAUCAAAAACACAUGGCUUUGCUAAAUUGAAAGAUGAUGUAUAAGGCCUGACACCUGCCCGGUGCUGGAAGGUUAAGAGGAGGGGUUAUACUUCGGUAGAAGCUCUGAAUUGAAGCCCCAGUAAACGGCGGCCGUAACUAUAACGGUCCUAAGGUAGCGAAAUUCCUUGUCGGGUAAGUUCCGACCUGCACGAAUGGUGCAACGAUCUGGGCACUGUCUCAGCCAUGAGCUCGGUGAAAUUGUAGUAUCGGUGAAGAUGCCGAUUACCCGCAACGGGACGGAAAGACCCCGUGAACCUUCACUACAGCUUAACAUUGAUAUUGGGUAAAUGAUGUGUAGGAUAGGUGGGAGACUAUGAAGCUGGUACGCUAGUAUUGGUGGAGUCAUCCUUGAAAUACCACCCUUUAUUUAUCUGAUAUCUAAUCCUCAAAGGAGACAUUGUUUGGUGGGUAGUUUGACUGGGGUGGUCGCCUCCAAAAGAGUAACGGAGGCUCCCAAAGGUACCCUCAGUACGCUUGGUAACCGUACGAAGAGUGUAAUAGCAUAAGGGUGCUUGACUGUGAGACCUACAAGUCGAGCAGGAACGAAAGUUGGGUAUAGUGAUCCGGUGGUUCCGCAUGGAAGGGCCAUCGCUCAAAGGAUAAAAGGUACUCCGGGGAUAACAGGCUGAUCUCCCCCAAGAGCUCACAUCGACGGGGGGUUUGGCACCUCGAUGUCGGCUCGUCACAUCCUGGGGCUGGAGAAGGUCCCAAGGGUUGGGCUGUUCGCCCAUUAAAGUGGCACGCGAGCUGGGUUCAGAACGUCGCGAGACAGUUCGGUCCCUAUCUGUUGUGGGCGUUAGAAGCUUGAGAGAACCUGACCUUAGUACGAGAGGACCGGGUUGGACGAACCUCUAGUGUACCUGUUGUGACGCCAGUUGCAUUGCAGGGUAGCUACGUUCGGAUGAGAUAAGCGCUGAAAGCAUCUAAGCGCGAAACUCAUCUCAAGAUGAGGCUUCUUUUAAGGGUCGUUAAAGACGAUGACGUUGAUAGGUUGCAAGUGUAAAGGCAGUAAUGUCAAAGCUGAGCAAUACUAAUUACCCGUAGCUUUCUAAUA